UUUUUCUUGUUUUAUUUCUGUUUUAAAUAACUAAACAAUACAUACAAAAUAUUACAAUCCAUGCCAUAAAAAUUAGCUCACCUGAAGACAGUCAGAACAUUGAUGGAAGUGAGUUGGCCAACUCUAAAAUUUUUACAAUAACUGACAACAUUAUCAGUGAGAUGACUACAUCGUGUUACACAAUGGGUGCUCGCAAAUGUAAGGAAUCUCACAUGCGGUCCAGGCCAUGGUAUAAGAUACAAACGUCAAAGGAAUUGUUCACAGCAACAAUUGCAGGAGAUUAAGUAAUUGAUCAAGAAACAGUAGCAGAGCCUCCGUUCUGUUGAUUCAGUAGUUGCCUGCUCAUGAAACACACCAUCUGUUUGAUCAUGAAGAUCUCCAGCUGUAUAGCUUGCUCAUGAAGACCUUCAAUUGUAUGCCAUUUCGAAAUUGUAUGACACUGUUUCCUAUACCGCAUCUUGUACCCACAUCAAUAUUUAUCACAUACUUCUUAACCUAAAUAGAUUACAAAUAUACAAUAUUUUGUAAGGCUCAUGAAUAUUAUCAAUGUAAUUGUUUAUUCAAUUUUUGUCUAGCGAUUCAUUUUAAAAUUUGCUCUAACUGUAAUGUAUUCCUGAAAGUAGUUGUAUGCACAUUUCUAUUUACUAUGUCUCCUGCUGUUGUAUUCUCCUAUAUUACUCAUUAACAUAAUACUGCAGUUAUUCUAAUGCUUAUUUAUAGGUGUCUACUUACUUACUAAUAGGUGUCUGCUUACCUGGUUACAUGCAGUGAUUGAACAUGUAAUGAGCAUGUAAUGAGCCACUUCCAUCUAGCCUGAACACUGAUACACCACAGCAUGAGAUGAGUAGAUAGUUUCCCCACACGUGUUUUGUAAUGUUAUUGUAUUUUUAUGUACUCCAAUUUCUUGCAAACUACAUAAUGUGCAGAUUAUAUUUACUGUGUCUCUUGCUAUUGUAUUCUCCUGUGUUACUUAUUGAGAGUUAUCUACCUAAAAUUUAACGUGCACCAACAUUAGUAUAGUCACGGUACUUGACUCUACAUAUGUUUUGGCUCUACGGAUUUUAAACAUGAAAAAAAAGAUAAA
Molecule: long non-coding RNA, 1084 nt
Organism: Cryptomeria japonica (Japanese cedar)
Lineage: Eukaryota; Viridiplantae; Streptophyta; Pinopsida; Cupressales; Cupressaceae
Exons: 3
Source: RefSeq, a predicted model, not a curated record